GACGAACGCUGGCGGCGUGCUUAACACAUGCAAGUCGAACGGACAGACAGAGAGCUUGCUCUCUUGAAGUUAGUGGCGAACGGGUGAGUAACGCGUAAUCAACCUGCCCUUCAGAGGGGGAUAGCAACGGGAAACCGUUGCUAAUACCGCGUACGAUUCAUGAACGGCAUCGUUUAUGAAUGAAAGGUGGCCUCUAUGUAUAAGCUAUCGCUGAAGGAGGGGAUUGCGUCUGAUUACCUAGUUGGAGGGGUAACGGCCCACCAAGGCAAUGAUCAGUAGCCGGUCUGAGAGGAUGAACGGCCACAUUGGGACUGAGACACGGCCCAAACUCCUACGGGAGGCAGCAGUGGGGAAUCUUCCGCAAUGGACGAAAGUCUGACGGAGCAACGCCGCGUGAGUGAUGAAGGUCUUCGGAUUGUAAAGCUCUGUUAAUCGGGACGAAAGAGUUCUGCGUGAAUAAUGCAGAAAAGUGACGGUACCGGAAUAGAAAGCCACGGCUAACUACGUGCCAGCCGCCGCAGUAA
Molecule: ribosomal RNA, 524 nt
Filed under: uncultured bacterium
Lineage: Bacteria
Description: partial 16S ribosomal RNA
Rfam family: Bacterial small subunit ribosomal RNA
Source: RNAcentral